ACACAUUUGGGGCACAAAAACAUAGCCACCUCUUUUCAAAUCAAACACGACGAUAAAGACCGGACUCUGUAGGUCUACAUUUUGUGAUCCCAUGGGUUUUAAAUUCACCAAAUCAUUUCACACUGGACGGCGCUCUCCCAUACCAAUGAUGUGCAGUGCGCAUUGGGCACCUUCAAAAAAAGCAUCAGUUAUUUGAGGACAAUGAUCCAACACACCUCCAGGCUGUGUAAGGGCUGUUUGACCAAGAAGGAGAGUGCUGCAUCAGAUGACCUGGCCCUCACAAUCACAUGACCACAACCUAAUUGAGAUGGUUUGGGAUGAGUGGGACCGCAGAGUGAAGAAAAAGCAGCCAACAAGUGCUCAGCAUAUGUUGGAACUCCUUCAAGACUGUUGAAAAAGUAUUCCAAGCGAAACUGGUUGAGGGAAUGCCAAGAGUGUGCAAAGCUGUCAUCAAGGCAAAGGGUGGCUACUUUUAAGAAUCUCAAAUAUGAAAUCUAUUUUCAUUUGUUUAACACUUUUUUUUGUUUACUAC
Molecule: long non-coding RNA, 532 nt
Filed under: Salmo salar (Atlantic salmon)
Lineage: Eukaryota; Metazoa; Chordata; Actinopteri; Salmoniformes; Salmonidae
Description: lncRNA (ENSSSAG00000114093.1)
Source: RNAcentral